RNAcentral lists this long non-coding RNA (518 nucleotides) under Salmo salar (Atlantic salmon). Its description in RNAcentral is "lncRNA (ENSSSAG00000112470.1)". The record is from RNAcentral. Lineage: Eukaryota; Metazoa; Chordata; Actinopteri; Salmoniformes; Salmonidae.
CCUGAUAGACUGUAUAGUCCUCCUCUUGGUUAGUGACUCCUGAUAGACUGUAUAGUCCUCCUCUUGGUUAGUUUAGUGACUCCUGAUAGACUGUAUAGUCCUCCUCUUGGUUAGUGACUCCUGAUAGACUGUAUAGUCCUCCUCUUGGUUAGUGACUCCUGAUAGACUGUAUAGUCCUCCUCUUGGUUAGUGACUCCUGAUAGACAGUAUAGUCCUCCUCUUGGUUAGUUUAGUGACUCCUGAUAGACUGUAUAGUCCUCCUCUUGGUUAGGUUAGUGACUCCUGAUAGACUGUAUAGUCCUCCUCUUGGUUAGUGACUCCUGAUAGACUGUAUAGUCCUCCUCUUGGUUAGUGACUCCUGAUAGACUGUAUAGUCCUCCUCUUGGUUAGGUUAGUGACUCCUGAUAGACUGUAUAGUCCUCCUCUUGUUUAGUGACUCCUGAUAGACUGUAUAGUCCUCCUCUUGGUUAGUGACUCCUGAUAGACUGUAUAGUCCUCCUCUUGGUUAGUUUAGUGAC